RNAcentral lists this ribosomal RNA (407 nucleotides) under Verrucomicrobiota bacterium. Its description in RNAcentral is "Verrucomicrobia bacterium partial 16S ribosomal RNA". It matches the Rfam family "Bacterial small subunit ribosomal RNA", at positions 355 to 776 of the family's 1533-position model. The record is from RNAcentral. Lineage: Bacteria; Pseudomonadati; Verrucomicrobiota.
UGGGUAAUAUUGGACAAUGGAGGGAACUCUGAUCCAGCAAUUCUUUGUGUGUGAAGAAGGUUUUAGGACUGUAAAACACUUUUAGUAGGGAAGAAAAAAAUGACGCUACCUACAGAAGAAGCAACGGCUAAAUACGUGCCAGCAGCCGCGGUAAUACGUAUGUUGCGAGCGUUAUCCGGAAUUAUUGGGCUUAAAGGGCAUCUAGGCGGUAAGACAAGUUGAAGGUGAAAACCUGUGGCUCAACCAUAGGCUUGCCUACAAAACUGUUGAACUAGAGUACUGGAAAGGUGGGUGGAACUACACGAGUAGAGGUGAAAUUCGUAGAUAUGUGUAGGAAUGCCGAUGAUGAAGAUAACUCACUGGACAGAAACUGACGCUGAAGUGCGAAAGCUAGGGGAGCAAACAGG